Molecule: long non-coding RNA, 712 nt
Filed under: Cyanistes caeruleus (blue tit)
Lineage: Eukaryota; Metazoa; Chordata; Aves; Passeriformes; Paridae
Description: lncRNA (ENSCCEG00000008617.1)
Source: RNAcentral
CUGCACUUUUCAAGCUUUCCAGACAAGACACAUUUCUCUCUAGCUAAAAAGACCUUUUCUUCUUUUGGUUUCCUCAGCUGGAAUCAUCUGCAAGCCUUGUGGCCAAGUGUGUCGACAAACAAAGAAAAAUCAUCAGAUGGUGAAUACUCACUCUGGGAUUUGUACCCCGCCCAUGCAGAGACUGAGCCCUGCCCUCUCCAGCCACAACGCAAGAGAUUUUGGUGUCAUACUUGUGGUGUCUCAGUGUCCUCCACUCGACUGCUGCUGUUUUGGCCCGAAAGCCCACCAGGGUCUCUGGCAAGUUUUCUGAACUGUCACAUUUCUGAGUGGAAGAUGCACAGACUCCUGGCCAGGGGAAUACAGGGGAAAAUCUUAUUUACAGAUAUUUCUUCCCCUGUCAGGCAUGUCACCUUUGGGAAUGGAAGCUACACUGUAGAAACAGCAAUAAACCUGUGAGGUUUGAAGGGCAUGACAGGGAAUGCCACCUAUUAAAAGAUAAGUAGGCUGAAAAGCAUGGGAUGAAGAACAGCUGUUAGGAAAUUGCCUUAUUGCUCUUAUCCAGUUAUUCUUCAAUUACAUUUGCUGAUGUUUUUCUGUUUCGCCUUGGCUGCCUUACUCUUGGGUGCAUUUUUCUGUGUCUAUUGUUUUGAUUACUUUGCACCUUUUAGUUUUGUCCUGAAUAAAAAUCAGCUUCAUUUGGAUUGUGGCUGCA